UGACCACCCGUGUCUGCGGGUAGAUGGCCAUACGGACAGCCGGGUCAAAUGCCGA
Molecule: small RNA, 55 nt
Filed under: uncultured Clostridium sp.
Lineage: Bacteria; Bacillati; Bacillota; Clostridia; Eubacteriales; Clostridiaceae
Description: Streptococcus sRNA SpF59 (ldcC RNA)
Rfam family: Streptococcus sRNA SpF59 (ldcC RNA)
Source: RNAcentral